This 253-nucleotide ribosomal RNA is filed under the name uncultured bacterium. RNAcentral describes it as "partial 16S ribosomal RNA". It matches the Rfam family "Bacterial small subunit ribosomal RNA", at positions 524 to 776 of the family's 1533-position model. The record is from RNAcentral.
UACGGGGGGGGUAAGCGUUGUUCGGAAUUACUGGGCGUAAAGGGCUCGUAGGCGGCCAACUAAGUCGGACGUGAAAUCCCUCAGCUUAACUGGGGAACUGCGUCCGAUACUGGAUGGCUUGGAUUUGGGAGAGGGAUGCGGAAUUCCAGGUGUAGCGGUGAAAUGCGUAGAUAUCUGGAGGAACACCAAUGGCGAAGGCAGCUCGCUGGAACGGUACUGACGCUGAGGCGCGAAAGCGUGGGGAGCAAACAGG